This 858-nucleotide ribosomal RNA is filed under the name uncultured Acidobacteriota bacterium. RNAcentral's name for it is "bacterial SSU rRNA". It matches the Rfam family "Bacterial small subunit ribosomal RNA", at positions 58 to 895 of the family's 1533-position model. Lineage: Bacteria; Pseudomonadati; Acidobacteriota. The record is from RNAcentral.
CAAGUCGAACGCGAAAGUCCCGCAAGGGAUUAGUAGAGUGGCAAACGGGUGAGUAACACGUGGGUGACCUGCCUUCGAGUGGGGGAUAACGUCCCGAAAGGGACGCUAAUACCGCAUGACAUCCUGCCUUUGAAGAGGCGGAGAUCAAAGCUGGGGAUCGCAAGACCAAGCGCUCAAAGAGGGGCCCGCGCCUGAUUAGCUAGUUGGCGAGGUAACGGCUCACCAAGGCAACGAUCAGUAUCCGGCCUGAGAGGGCGGACGGACACACUGGGACUGAGACACGGCCCAGACUCCUACGGGAGGCAGCAGUGGGGAAUUGUUCGCAAUGGGCGCAAGCCUGACGACGCAACGCCGCGUGGAGGAUGAAGACCUUCGGGUCGUAAACUCCUUUCGAUCGAGACGAAUGGCCUCCGGGUUAACAGCCCGGAGGAGUGACGGUACCGAGAGAAGAAGCCCCGGCUAACUCCGUGCCAGCAGCCGCGGUAAUACGGGGGGGCAAGCGUUGUUCGGAAUUACUGGGCGUAAAGGGCUCGUAGGCGGCCAACUAAGUCAGACGUGAAAUCCCUCGGCUUAACCGGGGAACUGCAUCUGAUACUGGAUGGCUUGAGUUCGGGAGAGGGAUGUGGAAUUCCAGGUGUAGCGGUGAAAUGCGUAGAUAUCUGGAGGAACACCGGUGGCGAAGGCGGCAUCCUGGACCGACACUGACGCUGAGGAGCGAAAGCCAGGGGAGCAAACGGGAUUAGAUACCCCGGUAGUCCUGGCCCUAAACGAUGAAUGCUUGGUGUGGCGGGUAUCGAUCCCUGCCGUGCCGAAGCUAACGCAUUAAGCAUUCCGCCUGGGGAGUACGGUCGCAAGGCU